Molecule: ribosomal RNA, 325 nt
Filed under: uncultured eukaryote
Lineage: Eukaryota
Description: bacterial SSU rRNA
Rfam family: Bacterial small subunit ribosomal RNA
Source: RNAcentral
AAGUCUUUUGUCAAAGAUCAGGGCCUAACCCUGGGCAGGCAGAGGAAACUAGUAGACUUGAGUUCGGUAGGGGCAGAGGGAAUUCCCGGUGGAGCGGUGAAAUGCGUAGAGAUCGGGAGGAACACCAAAGGCGAAGGCACUCUGCUGGGCCGCAACUGACACUGAGAGACGAAAGCGAGGGGAGCAAAUGGGAUUAGAUACCCCAGGUAGUCCUCGCCGUAAACGAUGGAUACUAGGUGUUGGAUGAGUUCAAUCAUUCAGUACCGUAGCUAACGCGUGAAGUAUCCCGCCUGGGGAGUAUGCUCGCAAGAGUGAAACUCAAAGG